Molecule: ribosomal RNA, 426 nt
Filed under: uncultured bacterium
Lineage: Bacteria
Description: partial 16S ribosomal RNA
Rfam family: Bacterial small subunit ribosomal RNA
Source: RNAcentral
GUGGGGAAUCUUGCGCAAUGGGCGAAAGCCUGACGCAGCAACGCCGCGUGGGGGAUGAAGGCUCUCGGGUUGUAAACCCCUUUCAGCAGGGACGAAUCAAGACGGUACCUGCAGAAGAAGCCCCGGCUAACUACGUGCCAGCAGCCGCGGUAACACGUAGGGGGCAAGCGUUGUCCGGAUUUAUUGGGCGUAAAGAGCUCGUAGGUGGCUGAGUAAGUCGGAUGUCAAAUCCCCAGGCUAACCAUGGGAUCCCAUCCGAUACUGCUCUGGCUAGAGACCGGUAGGGGAGCGUGGAAUUCCUGGUGUAGCGGUGAAAUGCGCAGAUAUCAGGGGGAACACCAGCGGCGAAGGCGGCGCUCUGGGCCGGUACUGACACUGAGGAGCGAAAGCGUGGGUAGCAAACAGGAUUAGAUACCCUGGUAGUCC